RNAcentral lists this ribosomal RNA (1577 nucleotides) under Shewanella sp. YLB-07. RNAcentral's name for it is "partial 23S ribosomal RNA". It matches the Rfam family "Bacterial large subunit ribosomal RNA", at positions 1210 to 2782 of the family's 2925-position model. The record is from RNAcentral. Lineage: Bacteria; Pseudomonadati; Pseudomonadota; Gammaproteobacteria; Alteromonadales; Shewanellaceae.
AUAUCUACGAUAUCCGUGGUAGGAGAGCGUUCUAAGGGCGUUGAAGCUAGACCGGAAGGACUGGUGGAGCGCUUAGAAGUGAGAAUGCCGGUAUGAGUAGCGAAAGAUGGGUGAGAAUCCCAUCCACCGUAUGCCUAAGGUUUCCUGAGGAAGGCUCGUCCGCUCAGGGUUAGUCGGGACCUAAGCCGAGGCCGAAAGGCGUAGGCGAUGGACAACAGGUUGAUAUUCCUGUACCACCUCGUUUUUGUUUGAGCGAUGGGGGGACGCAGGAGGAUAGGGUAAGCGCACUGCUGGAUAUGUGCGUCUAAGCAGUUAGGCUGGUAAGCAGGAAAAUCCGCUUACCGUGAAGGCUGAGCUGUGAUAGCGAGGGAAAUAUAGUACCGAAGUUCCUGAUUCCACACUGCCAAGAAAAGCCUCUAGUGAGAAAACAGGUGCCCGUACCGCAAACCGACACAGGUAGGCGAGGAGAGAAUCCUAAGGUGUGCGAGAGAACUCUCGUUAAGGAACUCGGCAAAAUGACCCCGUAACUUCGGGAGAAGGGGUGCUUUUUAGGGUGAAUAGCCCUGAAGAGCCGCAGUGAAUAGGCCCAGGCGACUGUUUAGCAAAAACACAGGUCUCUGCGAAGCCGCAAGGCGAAGUAUAGGGGCUGACGCCUGCCCGGUGCUGGAAGGUUAAGAGGAGGGGUUAGCGUAAGCGAAGCUCUGAAUUGAAGCCCCAGUAAACGGCGGCCGUAACUAUAACGGUCCUAAGGUAGCGAAAUUCCUUGUCGGGUAAGUUCCGACCCGCACGAAAGGCGUAACGAUCUGGGCACUGUCUCAACGAGAGACUCGGUGAAAUUAUAGUACCUGUGAAGAUGCAGGUUACCCGCGACAGGACGGAAAGACCCCGUGGAGCUUUACUGUAGCCUGAUAUUGAAUUUUGGUACAGCUUGUACAGGAUAGGUAGGAGCCUGAGAAGCCGGAGCGCUAGCUUCGGUGGAGGCGUCGGUGGGAUACUACUCUGGCUGUAUUGAAAUUCUAACCCGCACCUCUUAUCGAGGUGGGAGACAGUGUCAGGUGGGCAGUUUGACUGGGGCGGUCGCCUCCUAAAGAGUAACGGAGGCGCCCAAAGGUUCCCUCAGAAUGGUUGGAAAUCAUUCGUAGAGUGUAAAGGCACAAGGGAGCUUGACUGCGAGACCUACAAGUCGAGCAGGGACGAAAGUCGGGCUUAGUGAUCCGGUGGUUCCGCAUGGAAGGGCCAUCGCUCAACGGAUAAAAGCUACCCCGGGGAUAACAGGCUUAUCUCCCCCAAGAGUCCACAUCGACGGGGAGGUUUGGCACCUCGAUGUCGGCUCAUCGCAUCCUGGGGCUGUAGUCGGUCCCAAGGGUUGGGCUGUUCGCCCAUUAAAGCGGUACGCGAGCUGGGUUCAGAACGUCGUGAGACAGUUCGGUCCCUAUCCGUCGUGGGCGUAGGAAAUUUGAGAGGAGCUGUCCUUAGUACGAGAGGACCGGGAUGGACGCACCGCUGGUGUACCAGUUGUUCUGCCAAGAGCAUCGCUGGGUAGCUAUGUGCGGAAGGGAUAAGUGCUGAAAGCAUCU